GUUAUGGCUGAGACACCGGGCACACCAGUGGCCCACGGCCCACUCUGUUCACACCGACACCUUCUGUUGAUGCCCCUUUUUCAGAUGCUCCUGUCCAGUUCCCGGGGUUCCUGUUUGCUGUCCACGUCUUGUUCUCCAGGAUACCCUGGCUUCCUCUGACGGCACUGCUUUGGGAUGACCCCGAACUGUCUUCCACGUGUGGCUCUGUCCAUAAAGUGUUCUAAAAAUCGACACCUCCCAUAGGAAGGACCCAGCUUCCCUUCUGCCUGCUCAGGUUUGGAUGCGAUUUGACUCCCCAGGGUCCAGGUAGUGGAAGCCUGGUCCUCAGCGGGGCAACGUGAGAGGAGGUGACCUGGCAGGAGGCCCUGGGGUCGCUGCAGUCUGUCCUUGGAAGAGAACACUGAUCUUCGGGAGUCAGUUCUCAGGAGAGUGAGUUGCUUUAAAAGCCUGACCCCCGAGCCUCGCUCUGACUUCCGAUUUCAAGAUGUGAUCUCUUACUUCUGCAUGCACUUCCUCCAUUCCACCCGAGGGUCCCACCCAGAAGCCAAAGCAAUGGGACAGCAUGAUGGUGCACUUUCAGCCUUCAAACUGUAAGCUAAAUAAACCUCUUUUCUU
This 615-nucleotide long non-coding RNA is filed under the name Ictidomys tridecemlineatus (thirteen-lined ground squirrel). Its description in RNAcentral is "lncRNA (ENSSTOG00000030084.1)". The record is from RNAcentral. Lineage: Eukaryota; Metazoa; Chordata; Mammalia; Rodentia; Sciuridae.